This 59-nucleotide transfer RNA is filed under the name Nocticola sp. JW1 9/1. RNAcentral describes it as "tRNA-Val". The record is from RNAcentral. Lineage: Eukaryota; Metazoa; Arthropoda; Insecta; Blattodea; Nocticolidae.
UUGACUGAUCUAUAGGGAUUCCUUUUACAUUGGAUGAUAUACAAUUUUGUACAGUUUGA